GAAGAAGAUGAAGAAAGUAGCUCAAUUCCAAGCCUUCUUCUCUACCAAGCUUGCUUCACCACCAAGCAAAUUCUAAUUUUUCUUUCUUCUCUAAUCCUCUCUUUGGUAAAGAGAACCAAAGAGAAAGAGAGGUCAUAAAGUCAAAGAGAAAAAGAGAGAAAACCCACCCUCUCUCUCUCCUACGGUUUGGGUAAAAGGUCAAGGAUUCACUCACACUCAUAGGAAACUUGCCCUCCAAGUAAACCCUUGAUUUGCACAAUUACACUUUAGUCCCUCUCAUAACAUAGGGAGACUUGCCCUCCAAGUAAACUCUUUUACUUGCACCAUUACACCUUAGCCCCUCUCAUUUGCACAAUU
This 357-nucleotide long non-coding RNA is filed under the name Ananas comosus (pineapple). Its description in RNAcentral is "long non-coding RNA (ACOM_LNC005481)". Lineage: Eukaryota; Viridiplantae; Streptophyta; Magnoliopsida; Poales; Bromeliaceae. The record is from RNAcentral.